GCGGCCUAUCAGCUUGUUGGUGAGGUAAUGGCUCACCAAGGCGACGACGGGUAGCCGGCCUGAGAGGGCGACCGGCCACACUGGGACUGAGACACGGCCCAGACUCCUACGGGAGGCAGCAGUGGGGAAUAUUGCACAAUGGGCGAAAGCCUGAUGCAGCGACGCCGCGUGAGGGAUGACGGCCUUCGGGUUGUAAACCUCUUUCAGCAGGGAAGAAGCGAAAGUGACGGUACCUGCAGAAGAAGCGCCGGCUAACUACGUGCCAGCAGCCGCGGUAAUACGUAGGGCGCAAGCGUUGUCCGGAAUUAUUGGGCGUAAAGAGCUCGUAGGCGGUCUGUCGCGUCGGAUGUGAAAGCCCGGGGCUUAACCCCGGGUCUGCAUUCGAUACGGGCAGACUAGAGUGUGGUAGGGGAGAUCGGAAUUCCUGGUGUAGCGGUGAAAUGCGCAGAUAUCAGGAGGAACACCGGUGGCGAAGGCGGAUCUCUGGGCCAUUACUGACGCUGAGGAGCGAAAGCGUGGGGAGCGAACAGGAUUAGAUACCCUGGUAGUCCACGCCGUAAACGGUGGGAACUAGGUGUUGGCGACAUUCCACGUCGUCGGUGCCGCAGCUAACGCAUUAAGUUCCCCGCCUGGGGAGUACGG
Molecule: ribosomal RNA, 642 nt
Filed under: uncultured bacterium
Lineage: Bacteria
Description: bacterial SSU rRNA
Rfam family: Bacterial small subunit ribosomal RNA
Source: RNAcentral